Molecule: long non-coding RNA, 2882 nt
Filed under: Anas platyrhynchos platyrhynchos (common mallard)
Lineage: Eukaryota; Metazoa; Chordata; Aves; Anseriformes; Anatidae
Description: lncRNA (ENSAPLG00000021379.1)
Source: RNAcentral
AUGCAGAACCACUGCAUUGCUUUUCCUGCUUCCCAAAAUCACCUCCUGCAGACAAUAUCCUCUUCCUCUUUGGAGGCUGAAACUAUUUGCUACAGUCAUAAUUUCCUUUCAGCUCCACAGAUUACUUUUGAAUAUUUCUCUGUGGGUAUUCAACAGCGAUGCUCUUCUGGCCGUAGAGGAGGUUUCAACAGAGCUGCGAGUUCAGCAGCAAUAAGAUGCUCGGUGAAGAAGCACUGGGGCAGGGGACAAGGCCACAUGCAGAAGGGAAGGGACGUGAAGGCAAACUGCAGGGCCGGCCCCAGCCCUGCCAUCCAUCUCUGCCCCGCUCCAGGAGCUCUCCAAGCGAGAAGCAGCAGCGAAGCUGCUCGUGAUGUUUUUAAUCAGCCUGGGCAGUAAAAGGAAAUCAGUCAUGUUAAAGGAGAAUCGUAAAACAGCUUUGAAAACCACAGAGCCGUGCAGAAGUGCUCAGCUUUGUUUGUUUAGAGCCCAGCCAUUUUACGGUGCCAUAAACCUCCCGGCACGUAGGCUGCAGAGCGUAAAUCCUGCUCCAGCUCUUUUAUGUGCUGCCUAAUGAUAGGGGCACUGCGUGGACUCAGACGAGUGAUACAGGGAGUCGGGGCACUGUGUCUCUGUGUCCUUGGUAUCUCCCAGCUAGCCUGGCUGGAUUUAUUUUUUGCCAAGCAGACAACUCCGUGCUCCCGGGACGCGACAGAUGCCGCAGCUUCACCCUGCCCUGUGCCGCUCAUUUAGAUGCAACUUGCUGAGCUCCUGGGCUCAUCAAAGUGAUUUUCCACUUUGUCACCAUUCUCCUGGUGAGGUAGCUUCCUCUCCUUGCUCUCAGCUCUGGCCCAAAAAGAGCAUCGUGGCUCCUUAUCUCCCAGAGAGGUUUCCUGCAGGACUGGGGUUUGCUGGGCUGGUGGUGCUGGAGGAGGCAGCGAUGCAGUGGGCUCUGCUGGCACCCUCAUCUCCACUGGGAUCUGGGGUCCUUGAGCUGAGGGGCAUGGAGAGGACUCCCAGAUCUUCUUCAGGCUGCUCUCCAUCUCUCCUGGUUAGGUCCAGCCAGGGUUUGCUGCAGCACCAGCCAGGGCGGGUGACAAAUGGCACGUGAAGGUGUCGCGGGAAAUAUGCACACCCAGUGAUAGGGGCAUAACGAAUGAAACGGUGGUGGAAUUGAUGUGGGGCUGCUGUAAUGAAUGUACGUGUGUUGUGAGGAUUAGGACACGGGGGUGAUGAAUAUUGUCUAUCAGCUGUGAUAAAAAGCCUAUCAUCCCCAAUACAUAUUUUCAAAAACUAAUUUAAGGCUGAACGAGAUUAUUAAAAAUGAGGAGAGGAAAUUGUCUGGGAUAUAUUUAGAGUCCCUUGGUAGGUAGGAAGUGGAACUACAGCCUGUGGGGUGAAAAGGAUGGUUGUGGGCAGUGUGACAGCCUCUGAUAAGGAGACAGGGCUGAGCUGGUCUGGAGGGGAAUGAAUUAAAGCUCAUCUGGGGGUCUUGGUGCUGCAUGCAGGGACCGACCCCACUGGGGCUGAGCAGAAAAUCACACUGCUGCCAGCCACCUGCCUCUGUCCCCAGGCUCAGUGUCCCCGGUGUUUCUUUCUUACUUGGCUCCUUUCCUGAAUCUUUGCCUGUUUUGGGGCUGAGCAGAGAAAACCAGAGAAGCUGCAAACUUUGUUCCCUUAGGUACGGUGACACUUUCUCCCACCAAAAAGUGCUCCAAAUGGAAGCCUUUGGGUACACCUGAACUCCCCUGGGGAGCCUUUAUGCAGCCCCACAUGCAACCGGACUCUGUGUCUUCGUUCUUUCUGAAAAAUCCGAUAUGUAACCGUAACCGGAGAACUGAGAAGAGGGGCAUGCGCCUUUCACCCCAUCAGUAUUAGAAAAUGUGAUGCCAGAUCAGUUGCUGCUUCCGUAUGAUUGUUGCCAAAUAGCCGCUCUGAUCCUCACCCCGACUCAAAAAUCGUUAUGAGAACAGAAAUGGAGAAAACUGUGCGAGACAGCGGCACUGCAGAAUUUAGAAAGAACAUUAGGAGACCCUCUUAGGGUGCAGGGCUUCCUCAAUUUAUAGGGACUGAGCCCUAAAUAGACGCACGAUUACAGGCUCGGCUCAACGAUGCCAUCUUGCGACAGUCAGCCCCAACCAGCAUUACAAGCCUUGCUGAAACUGCCAAAGCAGGAAGGAGCCAGCCUUCUUUUACUAGCAUACAAGGAGUCAAUGAACCUUAUAUGCAAUUUCUAGACAGAUUGAGGGAUUCGUCGGACAAGCAAAUAGAUAAUCAUGAAGCUAAAGAGGCUCUCAUGCUGAAACUGGCCAUUGAAAACGCUAACACAGAUUGUAAGAAGAUUCUGCAAUCCAUGCCUAAUGGGACAACCUUGGUACAAAUGAUAGAGGCCAUGGAGUAAUUAUACAAAACUCUAAUAGCAUCAUUCCUUGUGCCAGGAGCCACUCUGCUUGGCUGUGGGAUCGACUGUGGGGUGGGCGUCCCCUAGGUGCACCCCGAGCUUUUUCCUUGGAGGGGUCCUACUCUCAGCCACUCACCGCGGGAGUAGACCUCCUGAAGCCGUGGACAAAUUAUUUUAAGUGAUAUUUUCCUGUGGUAUGAAAGAGAAGUACAAGAGGCCUCGUUACCUGAUCGUGUGACUGUGCUGUGCAAGUGAGACGCAGCAUCCCUACGAAGCAACAUCCCUGGCGCUUAGUGGCUUGUUGGCUGCUGUAGGUUCUAGUAGGCACCCUACUUUACCAUCGUAAAUCUGCUUGUGAUUUUUCACCCUGUUGCUUAUUGUACCUUGCUUAUCGCAAUGUCUGCUGUGCUUGACAGAAAAAUCUAUAGAAAGCAUUUGGUUGGUUGAAAAUAAAAAAGGGGGAAUUAUGUAAGGAUGUGUACUC